Molecule: unclassified non-coding RNA, 347 nt
Filed under: Hevea brasiliensis (rubber tree)
Lineage: Eukaryota; Viridiplantae; Streptophyta; Magnoliopsida; Malpighiales; Euphorbiaceae
Source: RNAcentral
AGUCAUGGUUUCAAAGAGGUAUAUAUGAUUAUGAUAAUGAUAAUCUUAAUUUUCUCAUUCUUUUGGUAAGCUUCACAGCAUUUUUCAAUUUGAUCAAUUAAUCUUAGAUCUGAACCAAUGCUUUGUUCUUAAGCCUGCUGUCAUCGUACCAUGCAACAAUGAUAAUUUGUUGGGUUCUAUAAAAGGUUUAUUUCAAUCAGAAACAGAAGAAAAAUAAACCUACACUUGGACAAUUAAUUGAAGACAAGUAGCUAAGAUGUCAUUGGCCAUUGUCUGCCAUUAUGAUCCUCAUAUACUGCUUCCUACAAUUUUUUAGUAAAAUUAUUAAAGAAACUUGAACUAAUGUU